GGGACACGUGGUAUCCUGUCUGAAUAUGGGGGGACCAUCCUCCAAGGCUAAAUACUCCUGACUGACCGAUAGUGAACCAGUACCGUGAGGGAAAGGCGAAAAGAACCCCGGCGAGGGGAGUGAAAAAGAACCUGAAACCGUGUACGUACAAGCAGUGGGAGCACGCUUAGGCGUGUGACUGCGUACCUUUUGUAUAAUGGGUCAGCGACUUAUAUUCUGUAGCAAGGUUAACCGAAUAGGGGAGCCGAAGGGAAACCGAGUCUUAACUGGGCGUUAAGUUGCAGGGUAUAGACCCGAAACCCGGUGAUCUAGCCAUGGGCAGGUUGAAGGUUGGGUAACACUAACUGGAGGACCGAACCGACUAAUGUUGAAAAAUUAGCGGAUGACUUGUGGCUGGGGGUGAAAGGCCAAUCAAACCGGGAGAUAGCUGGUUCUCCCCGAAAGCUAUUUAGGUAGCGCCUCGUGAAUUCAUCUCCGGGGGUAGAGCACUGUUUCGGCAAGGGGGUCAUCCCGACUUACCAACCCGAUGCAAACUGCGAAUACCGGAGAAUGUUAU
RNAcentral lists this ribosomal RNA (556 nucleotides) under Escherichia coli. Its description in RNAcentral is "partial 23S ribosomal RNA". It matches the Rfam family "Bacterial large subunit ribosomal RNA", at positions 419 to 975 of the family's 2925-position model. Lineage: Bacteria; Pseudomonadati; Pseudomonadota; Gammaproteobacteria; Enterobacterales; Enterobacteriaceae. The record is from RNAcentral.